Molecule: non-coding RNA, 1454 nt
Organism: Paramuricea clavata
Lineage: Eukaryota; Metazoa; Cnidaria; Anthozoa; Malacalcyonacea; Plexauridae
Source: the annotation of a GenBank genome assembly
UUUUUCAAUAGCUUACACUAUUUAGAUUCUUUAAUUAUAGUUAACGUUGAGUUUUCUAGCUUCAUGCAUUGCUUUUAAUAAUACAUAUUGCUAUGAGGUAUAACAUUUGGUUCAGGGCCUCUUUUAAGGCAGGGCCAUAGGAAGCUCUUUUCGAUUCGGGGGGCUGAAUGCGAGGGCCGAAAGACCAAGGAAAUUUUUAAAUGUAAAGUCUAUGAAAUGCCACUUCCUGGACUUUGGGGAAGAUUUGACAGAAUUCUGAUGGUCAGAAAGCAGCGUUUUAGUAUGUUCAAAUUGACAAUUUAGUAGUACUAAAUGGACAAAGGCGUAUUUAAUUAACUAUAUAUUGGAUAAGUUGCAGGAAAGUAUGGGUAAUAUCUUCAUUCUUUGCAGUUUGUCAUGGAUUAAAUGAUAAAGGUCUGCAUGAUUUGGAAAAAAAAUGAUUAUUAGCAAAUUAUUGGGGAAGGGGGGAGGGGCUGCCCCCCCCUGUUGCUACGGCCCUGUAAGGAUGUGCAACUGGAAGGGACAUAUUUAGCGGGGGACGGGGAGAUGACCCAGUCGGCAAGUCUGUGUCGCUGCAGCUACCUGCAACAUAUGUAUGCAUGGUUUAACUAAUAAGUAUGUGCCAUAGGGCAGCAGAUCAGGCCAUACCUAGAAUUCUGAGACAACCGAGUCGACCACCAAAGGUGGGAGCCUCUAGAGGGGUCUGGGGGCAUGCCCCCUCCCUCUGGGCGCAUGCCUGGAUUUCUUGAAGCUCACUUUGAGGAGUUUUCCAACAAGAUAUUAACCUUACACUAGUCCCUGAAAAUCAAACCAGCUGAUCUUCUGUGAUUGGUCAAAUUGAUCCUUGCAACCAUGGUGUUUUGCAACAUUUUUUCCCCACCAAAUAAUGCCAGGCAGGAUAUUUUUUCCCUCAGUUUGUUAGUGCAGGUAUUUUUUUUGUUCAGAAUAGCCUUGCAGGAAAUUUUUUUUCAAAAUCACCCCCCCCCCCCUCAAAAGUUAAAUGGUUGGCUCCUAAAAACAAAGCAGUGACAACAGUUGAGUAAUGACCAUGUAUACAGAUAGAUGACUUCUGUUAAACAGUUCACUUGCAGUAUUACAGAAAUUAACUAAUGAGUAAAAUCAUCUGGCACUAGAUAGAGCAAAUAUUAAUGCGGGUUUAAAUGCUUUUGAAGGCUUGAUUUCAACCUGCAUUUUGUUACAACCAUUUUUACCUCAUACGAGGCAGUUAAACUUUAUUUGGCAAAACACACUAAAUGAGUAUUUGGCAACAAACUACUGGAAUUUCACACAGAUCCUAUAAUACUAGAGACCCUUUACAAUUAAAUUGUUUUUAUACAAUUCCAUAUAAUUAAUGCAUAUAUAGACAUGCAACUGAAAGUAACUGUUUGCAACAUUGUUCCAUCUUCACUUUAUACUGUCUCUAUAGGAUCUAAAAAGCACAGAAAUGAGAUACC